This 29-nucleotide small RNA is filed under the name Bombyx mori (domestic silkworm). Its description in RNAcentral is "ovarian small RNA-31999". Lineage: Eukaryota; Metazoa; Arthropoda; Insecta; Lepidoptera; Bombycidae. The record is from RNAcentral.
UGACUGGUACAUAUCUCGGCUACUUUUGA